GGCUACUUCCGCUGCUGUUUCGUAGCCGACUGCUGAAGGCUGGUUUGCGUCGACAUGGCGGUUACUCUGAGUCUCUUGCUGAGCGGGCGCGUUUGCGCCGCCGUCGCUCGCUGUGGGUUCGCGACCCGGGGGGUGGCGGACCCAGGCCCUAUUGGCCGGGAGCCGGACCCCGAUUCCGACUGGGAGCCGGAGGAACGGGAGCUGCAGGAGGUGGAGAGGUACCGGCUUCUCCCCGGGCCCUCAGCUUGAAGCAGGGCCUCGCGCCCCGGCGUUCCAGGCCGCGCCCCCUUGGCGCCGGGUGUCCUGCCGCUGCUUGCGCAGCGGCCCUUGUUUCUUCUUACCCGUUGUUAGGGGCGCAGCGUCAGGUGUUCAGCCCCCUGGGACCACUGGUCCCUUCAUUAGUGACGUAUUUCAUCAUCAAUUUAGAGAGUUCGGCAUGCUUACAGGUAGUUAUUGUUCUAGGUGUUAGCUUUCUGGGUGUACAGAGCAGCUCUAAGCCGGCAACAUGGCCCGGUUGCCCUUGCGAUCAAAGAGAAAAGGGCUGGGCGCUCCAUGAUUUAGCCUGAGGCUCUUCGAACAUCCAUUCUGCUUCCACGCAUGGCUUCUGCCAUUGGUUCUCUUCCCCCAGCACCCUGAAACGACAGAAAAAAGCAAUCCGAUUCCAGAAAAUUCGGAGGCAAAUGGAGGCGUCUGGUGCCCCGCCCAGGACCCUGACGUGGGAAGCCAUGGAGCAGAUCCGGUAUUUACAUGAGGAAUUUCCAGAGUCCUGGUCAGUUCCCAGGUUGGCUGAAGGCUUUGAUGUCAGCACUGAUGUGAUCCGAAGAGUUUUAAAAAGCAAGUUUUUACCCACAUUGGAGCAGAAGCUGAAGCAGGAUCAAAAAGUCCUUAAGAAAGCUGGGCUUGCCCCCUUGCUCCAGCAGCUCCGGGGCUCUGGAAAUACCUCAAAGCUGCUCCCUGCAGGCCACUCUGUAUCAGGCUCUUUGCUUAUGCCAGGGCAUGAAGCCUCAUCCAAAGACCCAAAUCACAGCACAGCUUUGAAAGUGAUAGAAUCAGACACUCACAGGACAAAUACACCAAGGAGAUGGAAGGGAAGAAAUAAAGAAAUCCAGGACCUAGAGGAGAGCUUUGUGCCUGUUGCUGCACCCCUAGGUCAUCCAAGAGAGCUGCAGAAGUACUCCAGUGAUUCUGAGAGCCCCAGAAGAACUGGCAAUGGUGCGUUGCCAAGUGAUCAGAAGCUGGAGGAGUUGAAGGCAGAGGAGCCAGGUAACUUCAGCAGCAAAGUAGUGCAGAGGGGCCGAGAGUUCUUUGACAGCAACGGGAACUUCCUGUACAGAAUUUGAGUCGGGGCUUGGCUUGUGGAGAUGCCUCGUGAAACACGGCUGGGCAAGUAUUAAUGUAUAUGGAGCAGCCUGGAUUUCUGCAUAUGGAUAAGCCACCUUGGAGUAGGAAGAAGUGUUGAGCCUGGACUGUGGGAGGAAAGAGCUGCAUGGAUAGAUUCAAACUUCCUGUAGUAGUGCUCCCAGUCUGACCGCUGUAGACCUUCAGUACUCACUCUUCUUGCUUGGGCUCUCUGUGUUGAAAACCAUCGCGUGUUGCAUGUGUUGUUACAAUUUUCUGUGAUACUUGCAAUUUAUGUUUGAGAGGAAGUGAAGUUUGCCUUCUGACCUAUUUCUUUCUUGAUCAGUGAACACUAACAUUUUGGGGACAACUUAGUCAAUUGGUUUUCCUUACAACAAAAUAAAGUAAAAUGUAGCAGUCUGCUUUUUCGGUGCUCUCUGGGGUGGGAUGGUUUACCUGUGAACCUUGGAGAGUGAGGGAAGGACAAAGGCAGAAAGGAAGGAUCCCUGGUCAGUAAACAUUGGGAGAGAGAUGGAACCAGAGGAAUUUCCCAGCAAAGGGCUCUGUGCAGAGCAUCCUGCUUAGUGAUGGAUUCUGACAACUGAAAACUGGACGCCUUUCUCUUAGUUGCUGGGGUUCUGGCCGAGAUUGGGAAAUGAGGGGUUGGCAGAAAAUACAAAGCAGGCAAAGGCUUUAGGGCCCUUAUAAUCUCCAGCCACCUUUUAAAGUUUAUAUUAAGAGCUGGGCAUAGCAGAAUGUGCCUACAGUCCCAGUAACUUGGGAGGCCGAGGUGGGAGAAUUGCUUGAGCCUUGGAGGUUGAGGCUGCAGUGAGCUAUGAUUGCACCACUGCACUCCAGCCUGGGAUAACAGUGAGACCCCCAUCUCUAAAUAAAAUCAAUCAGUCUUCAAUUAUGUCUCAUUAUACAGUUAACCAGAUUUUUACAAUGGCGCCAUGAUGUAGGCAAUCCCAGAUUAAGAGGUCCCUUUUACAAAUAAGGAAAUAGACAUCAAGAUGGCUGCCAAAAAGUGGCAGUGCUGGGACUUAAACUCGAGUCUCAUCAUUAAUCCAGGGCUUCUGGAAUUCCAGGAAUAUGGCACUGUCUGCCAUCAUUUUGUAGAUUUACUGCUUGUUUUAGAAAUACAUCUGUUACAACCAGAAAUUCGGGGACAGCUUAGUCAAUUUGUUUUCCUUACAAGCAAAAUAAAGUAAAAUGUAGCAAUCUGCUCAUUAGCGCUCUGGUGGGAUGGUUUACCUGUGAACCUUGGAGAACCAUGUCCUGCUUUCACAAUUUACCAGUAAAAAUGGCUACUCCAAAUUUAAAUAUAUGUAGGACAUUAAUGAAAACACCUGCAUUCCAACUCAGUCAUUGCCGCUCUGUAGAAUCUUACUGCUAUUUCAAAUGUCCAAUUGCAGCAAUUAAAAUACUGAUUACUGUU
This 2776-nucleotide small RNA is filed under the name Pongo abelii (Sumatran orangutan). RNAcentral's name for it is "processed transcript". Lineage: Eukaryota; Metazoa; Chordata; Mammalia; Primates; Hominidae. The record is from RNAcentral.